UACGUAGGUGGCAAGCGUUGUCCGGAUUUACUGGGCGUAAAGGGCGCGCAGGUGGCGGUGUUGGCCCGGCGUGAAAGCCCCCGGCUCAACCGGGGAGGGUCGUCGGGGACCGCACCGCUUGAGGGCGGUAGGGGCCGGUGGAAUGCCUGGUGUAGUGGUGAAAUGCGUAGAGAUCAGGCGGAACACCCGUAGCGAAGGCGGCCAGCUGGGCCGUCCCUGACACUGAGGCGCGAAGGCGUGGGGAGCGAACGGG
Molecule: ribosomal RNA, 253 nt
Filed under: uncultured bacterium
Lineage: Bacteria
Description: partial 16S ribosomal RNA
Rfam family: Bacterial small subunit ribosomal RNA
Source: RNAcentral